This 305-nucleotide ribosomal RNA is filed under the name uncultured bacterium. RNAcentral describes it as "bacterial SSU rRNA". It matches the Rfam family "Bacterial small subunit ribosomal RNA", at positions 333 to 653 of the family's 1533-position model. The record is from RNAcentral.
GUAUUCCUACGGGGGGCAGCAGUGGGGAAUAUUGGGCAAUGGGCGCAAGCCUGACCCAGCAACGCCGCGUGAAGGAAGAAGGCUUUCGGGUUGUAAACUUCUUUUCUUGGGGACGAAGAAAGUGACGGUACCCAAGGAAUAAGCCACGGCUAACUACGUGCCAGCAGCCGCGGUAAUACGUAGGUGGCAAGCGUUAUCCGGAUUUAUUGGGUUUAAAGGGUGCGUAGGCGGGACGGUAAGUCAGCGGUAAAAAUGCGGAGCUCAACUCCGUCGAGCCGUUGAAACUGUCGUUCUUGAGUGAGCGA